UCGGCCACCAAGGGGAGCCCGGCAACGGGCUGAGAAACCGCUAGCAGCUGCAGCGCGGUGACCCUUCGAACCUGAUCCGGAUCAUGCCGGCGAAGGGAUGGGGAUUGCCAACCUG
Non-coding RNA from Pseudomonas sp., 115 nucleotides. NCBI's taxonomy places the organism in Bacteria, Pseudomonadati, Pseudomonadota, Gammaproteobacteria, Pseudomonadales, Pseudomonadaceae. The record is from Rfam.